CUUUGCAUAUAGGUGGAAAGUCUUCUGGUGCCCACAGGCUCCUCUCGGUCUCUGCCCGAGUGCAGGCCGGACUUAGGGAGUUGGCUAGCUGCCUCUGCUCUAAGUCUUUCAAAUUCCGGCUCGGAAGGAGGCUCUGAUUGAGGUCCUUUGUGAGGCCUGGAGGAGCCACUGCGAGGCAAUCAAGUUUAAGGAAAGCAUAAAGUCAGAACCUCUCUAGACCUCUCAUUGAGGGGGAGUGGAGAGACCUUGCAAAAUCAACUGGAGGGAGAUGAAAUGGUGAUCUGCAAGACAAAUUGCUCCCCUUACCCUGCCCAGAGAGGCUGGGGUUCAAGCAGUUUCCAUCCAUCUCCUGGAAGCAACUGCAGGAAAACCCACUCAGAUCACAUAAGGAAAGGGGAUAAGAAGACAGAAUCUUAUUUGCUAUAG
RNAcentral lists this long non-coding RNA (426 nucleotides) under Phascolarctos cinereus (koala). Its description in RNAcentral is "lncRNA (ENSPCIG00000006628.2)". Lineage: Eukaryota; Metazoa; Chordata; Mammalia; Diprotodontia; Phascolarctidae. The record is from RNAcentral.